CCUACGGGUGGCAGCAGGGGGGGAUAUUGCACAAUGGGGGAAACCCUGAUGCAGCGACGCCGCGUGGGUGAAGAAGUAUUUCGGUAUGUAAAGCCCUAUCAGCAGGGAAGAAAGAAGACGGUACCUGACUAAGAAGCCCCGGCUAACUACGUGCCAGCAGCCGCGGUAAUACGUAGGGGGCGGGCGUUAUCCGGAUUCACUGGGUGGAAAGGGAGCGUAGACGGCGGGGCAAGCCAGGAGUGAAAGCCCGGGGCCCAACCCCUGGACUGCUCUUGGCACUGGGCGGCGGGAGUGCGGGAGGGGCAGGCGGAAUGCCUGGUGUAGCGGUGAAAUGCGUAGAUAUCAGGAGGAACACCGGCGGCGAAGGCGGCCUGCUGGACCGCGACUGACGUUGAGGCUCGAAAGCGUGGGGAGCGAACAGGAUUAGAUACCCGGGUAGUC
This 441-nucleotide ribosomal RNA is filed under the name uncultured bacterium. RNAcentral's name for it is "partial 16S ribosomal RNA". It matches the Rfam family "Bacterial small subunit ribosomal RNA", at positions 338 to 795 of the family's 1533-position model. The record is from RNAcentral.